This is a long non-coding RNA of Pseudoliparis swirei, 270 nucleotides long. RefSeq lists it as uncharacterized. NCBI's taxonomy places the organism in Eukaryota, Metazoa, Chordata, Actinopteri, Perciformes, Liparidae. The transcript has 3 exons. The record is from RefSeq and is a predicted model, not a curated record.
CACACCGACCGCCGGCUGGAUUAACAGUGUUGUCGCUUUGAACCGAGAGUCACGUCGGGGUCACGUCGUCGGUCAUCUCACCUGGACGCUCAACAACAGCCAGUCUAACCGGUGCUGUGAUGAUCCAGAUGUAAGAACAAAGGCUUCACAGACUUGACCACUACUCUCUAUUCCUCAGGGAGUCUGGCUCUGCUGCUGCUGCUGUGUGUCAUCCGGAAGAAAAGAAGGCUGGAGGGAACCUACAGGCCCAGUGCGGAGGAGAAGAAACAG